This 406-nucleotide ribosomal RNA is filed under the name uncultured bacterium. Its description in RNAcentral is "partial 16S ribosomal RNA". It matches the Rfam family "Bacterial small subunit ribosomal RNA", at positions 29 to 526 of the family's 1533-position model. The record is from RNAcentral.
AUUGAACGCUGGCGGCAGGCCUAACACAUGCAAGUCGAACGAGUGGCGGACGGGUGGGUAAUGUCUGGGGAACUGCCUGCUGGAGGGGGAUAACUACUGGAAACGGUAGCUAAUACCGCAUACCAUCGGAUGUGCCCAGAUGGGAGUAGCUAGUGGGUGGGGUAACGGCUCACCUAGGCGACGAUCCCUAGCUGGUCUGAGCGGAUGACCGGCCAAACUGGAACUGAGACACGGUCCAGAGGCCUACGGGAGGAAGCAGUGGGGAAGAUUGGGCAAUGGGCGCAAGCCUGAUGCAGCCAUGCCGCGUGUAUGAAGAAGGCCUGCGGGUUGUAAAGUACUUUCAGCGUGGAGGCGUUACCCGCAGAAGAAGCACCGGCUAACUCCGUGCCAGCAGCCGCGGUAAUAC